Molecule: ribosomal RNA, 253 nt
Filed under: uncultured bacterium
Lineage: Bacteria
Description: partial 16S ribosomal RNA
Rfam family: Bacterial small subunit ribosomal RNA
Source: RNAcentral
CACAUAGGGCGCAAGCGUUGUCCGGAAUUAUUGGGCGUAAAGAGCUCGUAGGUGGUUUGUUACGUCCGCUGUGAAAUCCUAGGGCUUAACCCUGGGCUUGCAGUGGAUACGGGCAGACUAGAGGUAGGUAGGGGAGAAUGGAAUUCCUGGUGUAGCGGUGAAAUGCGCAGAUAUCAGGAGGAACACCGGUGGCGAAGGCGGGUCUCUGGGCCGAUACUGACGCUGAGGAGCGAAAGCGUGGGGAGCGAACAGG